UACGAAGGGGGCUAGCGUUGUUCGGAAUUACUGGGCGUAAAGCGCGCGCAGGCGGUCUUCCAAGUCAGUGGUGAAAGCCCGGAGCUCAACUCCGGAACUGCCAUUGAAACUGUUAGACUUGAGGAUGAGAGAGGUGAGUGGAAUUCCCAGUGUAGAGGUGAAAUUCGUAGAUAUUGGGAAGAACACCGGUGGCGAAGGCGGCUCACUGGCUCAUAUCUGACGCUCAGGCGCGAAAGCGUGGGGAUCAAACAGG
Molecule: ribosomal RNA, 253 nt
Filed under: uncultured bacterium
Lineage: Bacteria
Description: partial 16S ribosomal RNA
Rfam family: Bacterial small subunit ribosomal RNA
Source: RNAcentral